This 250-nucleotide ribosomal RNA is filed under the name uncultured bacterium. RNAcentral describes it as "partial 16S ribosomal RNA". It matches the Rfam family "Bacterial small subunit ribosomal RNA", at positions 524 to 774 of the family's 1533-position model. The record is from RNAcentral.
UACGUAGGUGGCGAGCGUUAUCCGGAUUUAUUGGGCGUAAAGCGUGCGCAGACGGUUUGUUAAGUCUAAAAUUAAAGCCCGAAGCUUAACUUCGGUUCGUUUUAGAAACUGGCAGGCUAGAGUAUAGUAGAGGCAAAUGGAAUUUCUAGUGUAGCGGUAGAAUGCGUAGAUAUUAGAAGGAACACCAGUGGCGAAGGCGAUUUGCUGGGCUAUUACUGACGUUCAUGCACGAAAGCGUGGGGAGCAAAUA